Oncorhynchus keta (chum salmon) is the source of this 1116-nucleotide long non-coding RNA. RefSeq lists it as uncharacterized. Lineage: Eukaryota; Metazoa; Chordata; Actinopteri; Salmoniformes; Salmonidae. The transcript has 6 exons. The record is from RefSeq and is a predicted model, not a curated record.
CUAGAGGGAAGCACGGGGGGGGACAGAUGGGGUGGUACUAAGACAUUAGGUGUUGAAUAGCCUGGUACCAGAUCUGUUAGUGCUGUCUGACAGAGUGGUACUAAGACAGUAGGUGUUGAAUAGCCUGGUACCAGAUCUGUUAGUGCUGUCUGACAGAGUGGUACUAAGACAGUAGGUGUUGAAUAGCCUGGUACCAGAUCUGUUAGUGCUGUCUGACAGGGUGGUUCUAAGACAGUAGGUGUUGAAUAGCCUGGUACCAGAUCUGUUAGUGCUGUCUGACAGGGUGGUUCUAAGACAUUAGGUGUUGAAUAGCCUGGUACCAGAUCUGUUAGUGCUGUCUGACAGGGUGGUACUAAGACAGUAGGUGUUGAAUAGCCUGGUACCAGAUCUGUUAGUGCUGUCUGACAGGGUGGUACUAAGACAGUAGGUGUUGAAUAGCCUGGUACCAGAUCUGUUAGUGCUGUCUGACAGAGUGGUACUAAGACAGUAGGUGUUGAAUAGCCUGGUACCAGAUCUGUUAGUGCUGUCUGACAGGGUGGUACUAAGACAGUAGGUGUUGAAUAGCCUGGUACCAGAUCUGUUAGUGCUGGGAGAGGAGAUGUCUAGGAGAGGAGAUGUCUAGGGGAGGAGAUGUCUAGGGGAGGAGAUUUCUAGGGGAGGAGAUGUCUAGGGGAGGAGAUGUCUAGGGGAGGAGAUGUCUCGGAGACUAGAUUUCUAGGGGAGGAGAUGUCUAGGGGAGGAGAUGUCAAGGGGAGGAGAUGUCUAGGAGGAGAUGUCUAGGAGGAGAUGUCUAGGAGGAGAUGUCUAGGGGAGGAGAUGUCUAGGGGAGGAGAUGUCUAGGGGAGGAGAUGUCUAGGAGGAGAUGUCUGGGAGGAGGUGUCUGGGAGGAGAUGUCUAGGAGGAGAUGUCUAGGAGGAGAUGUCUGGGAGGAGAUGUCUGGGAGGAGAUGUCUAGGAGGAGAUGUCUGGGAGGAGAUGUCUGGGAGGAGAUGUCUGGGAGGAGAUGUCUAGGAGGAGAUGUCUGGGAGGAGGUGUCUGGGAGAUGUCUAGGUAACAUCAUUGGUAACAUUUUAUAUGAGCUGACACAGUAUCUCUCCUGACCUCAGUCAUUGGUAAC